ACGCUUCCCCACUGAGGGAAGACCAUGUGACUAUACAACAGGAAGGUAGUUGUUUACAAGCCAGGAAGAGAGCCCUCACCAGAAACCAAAUUGGCUGGCGCCUUGAUCAUGGACUCCUGGGCUCCGGAACUGUAAGAAAAUUUGUGUUGUGGAAGCCACCCAGCCCAUGGUAUUUCGUUAUGGCAGCCUGAGCAGAGGUGGUAGCUAUGUGGACAGUUUUUGGACUUCUCUAUUGUAACACAGGAGGCAACACAGAUUCUUCAAGUCUCACAGCUACUCCCUAGGGAUCACUGGGGAACUUGGAAAAAAUCUAUUGGCUCAGCUAGUGAGCGAUCACUUCCUGUACCACUGUUCUGAGGGCGGACUUCCAGCUCAGGAUCAUGCGAGGGCAUUUUAUGAGAAAACAGAAGCAAAGGCAGAAAGAUGCUACAUUGCCAGCUUUGAAGAUGGAGGGAAGAGGUCACAAACCAAGGAAGGUGAGUGGUGCCUAGAAGUUGGAAAAGACAUGGAAACACAUUCUUCUGUAAAGCACUUAGAAAGAAAUACAGUCUUCCAAAAUGUUGAUCUUAGCCAGGCAAUGAGGACGUUGCACAAGACAGUCCCUGAUACCCAGAGUUUACUGCCUAAGAGAGGAUACAUCCUUCAAACCAAUAAUCUGCUAAUAGCAAGAUCCAAUAGCUUCAUGGAUAUUGAAAGAAACUGAGAAUCAAAUUUGCAUACUUCUGAGUCACUUGGAAACAAAAAACAAGUACAGUCUUAGAUUCUGAGGGAACAAAAAUUAAAAAUCACAUUAGGAAGAGAAUUCCUAAUGUAGGAACUCAUCCUGGAAGAUUCUUCAGCAAAAGUACAGACAAUAAUAAUAAUACUCCAUGAAGUUACCAUCGAUAUUGAAUGAAUUAAUGAAUGUAAAAACCUCAAAACCCUGCCUGGCCCAGAGCUUUGGAAUGGGUUUGGAUCUACCACUCAACUGCUUUAUGACUUCAGACCAGUUAUUUAAAUUCCCUGAAGCUCAGUUUCCACAUCUUUGAGUUUUUAUUAAUGACCUGCCGACAUCAUACAGUUCAUGAAAUGCUCUGGAUGUGUACAUGCUGAUGAUACGACCUCAGACCCAGCAAGAGCUCAGUGCAGCCCGGAGAGCUGUGAGCAGUGCCACAGGAGGAGAUGACUGGUGAGUGAAAUAAGCAAGAUAGGAGUUGAAGUGUACAUGAAGCAGAGUCCAAGCCUUCUCCUUCUGGAUGUUCAGCUGGAUCAUCCUGACUGCUCCCACUUUCAUCUUGGCUUUCAAAGGCAAGAGGAAAUUAUAAGGAAUAUUCUGAGUGGCUUUCAUCCAGGAGUUCUGUGGGACCCGCAACACCUGGAUGGUAGAUGCAAACAGAUAAAGAAUAUUGGUCACCAAAAGGAGUUCUUUUCAUCAUAGAUCUCUGAAGGUAGACACCUAUUUGCAGACUUCUCAAAGGGCUAUAUGGAUGUGCUCUACUUGUUGGAGGAUUGUCCAUCCACUCUUCUUCCUGUACUUACCAGGACAGAACAGCCGCAACUUCUCAGACAGUUCAUUCUUCUUUUCCUCACCUACUACCAUCUAAGAAAGGUACUUGAUGACUGUGGCUUUAGACAAGAGUCCUUUUCUUACCACAGGGUGGGCAGCACCAGCUCAUUAGAACCAUUUGUGUGACUGACUGAAGACAGCUCACCUUGGAACACUGCAGGACCCUAAGAGGAUGGAGGUGGAGUUUUUCUGCUCCUACACCUGGAUAGGCAAGACCAACCACUUACCAGAUGGGGAAUCUUCCAGUGCUAAUAGUUCAGACUGUGCAUACAAGAAACUGAGAGAAGGACCAGUACUGUUUUGUGGUUGCAGGUUGUUCCAUGAUGAGAAUAGGGCCAACCAUAAUGGGAGUAGGCUGGCAGAGACUUACUUGUCUAGUCAUGGGCUUUAUGGCAAAUGUCUCUAACACUUACCACCCAAAGCUAUGCUUAUGGUGUUGCAGUCAACAUCUUACUUUAUGAACUUAUAAUCUAUACUGAUGUUUAUUGUUACUAUGUUUUCCUGUUUACCUGAGAGGGGCCACACCCAAAAGGAGUGUCCUAGAGGUGGAAACAUGUACUACAUGUUCUAUUAUAGCAUUUAUCAUAUUAUAAUAUGAAUAAUAUGCUGCCUCUCUGCACUUCAGCUUAACCCAUGACCUCUCUGAGAACAAGUAACAUGUCGCAUUGACCUUUACAUUACUCCCCAGCACCACUUCUUCACUCUGCCCUAUCCCAAGUCCUUCGACUUUGCCUUAUACAUGUGAUCCUCUCUGAAAUUUGUGUCUAAGAAAUGAUCAAUGAAUAAAUACAUGAUUGAAUCAAUACCUUACUUCCUCCAGAGAUGUUUACUUAUCUUUAAUCACAUCCAUUCUAUGUUUAUGAUUUUAAUUUGUAGGUUAUACUUGAAAACAGUAGCCUGAUAAUAAAUAUAAAUUUAUCAGUUUCUCUCUAUUGAAGUUUCAGAACCCCUUUUGCCUCUUCUCAUUUAUAAUUCCUUUAAAUUAGGUAGGAAAGCAAAAAGGAAAUCUUAGUGAGGCAAAUACUAGCUUCUGCUUCCUAUGUAAGGAGAUAAUGGUACUGACACUAUCAGCUGAGGAUAUUUUAUACUUCAAUGGUUUUGUGAAUGGGAACUAAUCCAUUACUUUCUUAACUUGCUAUCUAUUUACUUUCUUAACCUAUAGGUGCACAGGUGGAUGACUUGGCAGGAGAUGCCAUUUAUGGCCAUGGAACAGUCAAGUUGUUAAGGGGACCAAGAAUGUCAAUGAACUAAAAGUUUCUGGACCAGUUUAUUAGGCAAAAAUUAAAAAUAAAAAUAAUAUUUGAGAACCUAAAAUAAAUUUGAUCUCAACUUGCAUAAUAUCUCUAACUCACUGAGGUUCCACGAAGACAGGAAGCCCAAGAAAAAGAGGUUGAAGAAAAUUAACUCUGAAAAACUUUGGCUGUAGUUAUGCAUUUUGGUAAUUACAGUGAACUAAGAGCAAUAGCUCAACAUAAGGGAUAAAAUGUGUGUCAAGUCUCAAGAAAGUACUCAAACACUUUUUAAAAACUCAGAAAGCAGAACUGUAAAAGGGUAAAUGGUGAGGUGGAGGGAAAAACUUGGAAGGUAAAGGAUGUAAUAAUUAUUUAUUCCUUUUCUAAAACAAAGAUGAAAGGGCCAAGUAUUUAUUAUUCUUUUAUUAAAAUAAGAAUGAUGAAGCUUUACUCCUUUUCCUGCAAUUUUUUUUUUUUUUUUUGGCAAACCUCUCAAAUAUUUUGUAAUAGCUCUAAAGAGAAAAGGUUAUGGUCAUUUUCAUAUCUUCUUUUGUAAAACACUGUUCAAACCUCUUGCCAAUUUUUCCACUGUAUUUUUUGUCUGAUCAAUCUGUGUACAUUCUUCAUAUAUUCUAGACCUAAGCUUGUAAGUUAUGUGUUAUAAAUACCUUUUCCCAUUUUGUGGUUUUA
RNAcentral lists this long non-coding RNA (3468 nucleotides) under Homo sapiens (human). Its description in RNAcentral is "non-protein coding lnc-ETNK1-3:17". The record is from RNAcentral. Lineage: Eukaryota; Metazoa; Chordata; Mammalia; Primates; Hominidae.